GCUGGCCGCGGUGGGGCCUGCCUGUAGUCCCAGCUACUCAGGAGGCUGAGGCUGGAGGAUCACUUGAGCCCAGGAGUUUUGGGCUGUAGUGCGCUAUGCCAGUCGGGUGUCUGCACUAAGUUCAGCAUCAAUAUGGUGACUUCCUGGGAGCAGGGGACCACCAGGUUGCCUAAGGAGGGGUGAACCAGCCCAGGUCAGAAAAGGAGCAGGUCAAAACUCACAUGCUGAUCAGUAGUGGGAUCGUGCCUGUGAAUAGCCACUGCAUUCCAGCCUGGGCAACAUAGCAAGACCCCGUCUCA
This 299-nucleotide signal recognition particle RNA is filed under the name Aotus nancymaae (Ma's night monkey). RNAcentral's name for it is "Metazoan signal recognition particle RNA (ENSANAG00000000705.1)". It matches the Rfam family "Metazoan signal recognition particle RNA". Rfam says of the family: The signal recognition particle (SRP) is a universally conserved ribonucleoprotein. Lineage: Eukaryota; Metazoa; Chordata; Mammalia; Primates; Aotidae. The record is from RNAcentral.